GGGCCCGCAUAAGCGGUGGAGUAUGUGGUUUAAUUCGAUGCAACGCGAAGAACCUUACCAGGGUUUGACAUCCUGCGAAUCUCUUGGAAACAGGAGAGUGCCUUCGGGAACGCAGUGACAGGUGGUGCAUGGCUGUCGUCAGCUCGUGUCGUGAGAUGUUGGGUUAAGUCCCGCAACGAGCGCAACCCACGUCUUUAGUUGCCAGCAUUUAGUUGGGCACUCUAGAGAGACUGCCGGUGAUAAGCUGGAGGAAGGUGGGGAUGACGUCAAGUCCUCAUGGCCCUUACGUGUUGGGCUACACACGUGCUACAAUGGUAUCUACAACAGGAAGCAAGACUGCGAAGUUAAGCAAAUCCCUAAAAGAUACCUCAGUUCGGAUUGCACUCUGCAACUCGAGUGCAUG
Molecule: ribosomal RNA, 403 nt
Filed under: uncultured bacterium
Lineage: Bacteria
Description: bacterial SSU rRNA
Rfam family: Bacterial small subunit ribosomal RNA
Source: RNAcentral